RNAcentral lists this ribosomal RNA (253 nucleotides) under uncultured bacterium. RNAcentral describes it as "partial 16S ribosomal RNA". It matches the Rfam family "Bacterial small subunit ribosomal RNA", at positions 524 to 776 of the family's 1533-position model. The record is from RNAcentral.
UACGUAGGGUGCAAGCGUUAAUCGGAAUUACUGGGCGUAAAGCGUGCGCAGGCGGCUUUGCAAGACAGAUGUGAAAUCCCCGGGCUCAACCUGGGAACUGCAUUUGUGACUGCAUGGCUGGAGUGCGGCAGAGGGGGAUGGAAUUCCGCGUGUAGCAGUGAAAUGCGUAGAUAUGCGGAGGAACACCGAUAGCGAAGGCAAUCCCCUGGGCCUGCACUGACGCUCAUGCACGAAAGCGUGGGGAGCAAACAGG